GAUGAACGCUGGCGGCGUACCUAACGCAUGCAAGUCGAACGGGGAUUUUUAGCAAUAGAAAUUCUAGUGGCAAACGGGUGAGUAACACGUAGGGAUCUACCCUGGAGCGGGGAAUAACGGACCGAAAGGUUCGCUAAUACCGCAUGAUGUCGCGAGACCAAAGGAAUUCGCAAGAGUUUCACUUCAGGAGGAGCCUGCGUUCGAUCAGGUAGUUGGUGAGGUAACGGCUCACCAAGCCGAUGACCGAUAGCUGUUCUGAGAGGAAGAUCAGCCACACUGGGACUGUGACACGGCCCAGACUCCUACGGGAGGCAGCAGCGAGGAAUAUUGCACAAUGGACGCAAGUCUGAUGCAGUAACGCCGCGUGGG
Molecule: ribosomal RNA, 369 nt
Filed under: uncultured bacterium
Lineage: Bacteria
Description: bacterial SSU rRNA
Rfam family: Bacterial small subunit ribosomal RNA
Source: RNAcentral